This 234-nucleotide ribosomal RNA is filed under the name uncultured bacterium. RNAcentral describes it as "partial 16S ribosomal RNA". It matches the Rfam family "Bacterial small subunit ribosomal RNA", at positions 99 to 333 of the family's 1533-position model. The record is from RNAcentral.
CGCACGGGUGAGUAACACGUAUCCAACCUGCCGUCUACUCUUGGACAGCCUUCUGAAAGGAAGAUUAAUACAAGAUGGCAUCAUGAGUCCGCAUGUUCACAUGAUUAAAGGUAUUCCGGUAGACGAUGGGGAUGCGUUCCAUUAGAUAGUAGGCGGGGUAACGGCCCACCUAGUCUUCGAUGGAUAGGGGUUCUGAGAGGAAGGUCCCCCACAUUGGAACUGAGACACGGUCAA